This 459-nucleotide ribosomal RNA is filed under the name uncultured bacterium. RNAcentral's name for it is "partial 16S ribosomal RNA". It matches the Rfam family "Bacterial small subunit ribosomal RNA", at positions 338 to 795 of the family's 1533-position model. The record is from RNAcentral.
CCUACGGGUGGCAGCAGUGAGGAAUAUUGGUCAAUGGCCGGAAGCCUGAACCAGCCAAGCCGCGUGAGGGACGAAGGUGCCACGCAUUGUAAACUUCUUUUGUCAAGGGACAAAAUCAGGCUCUAGAGCCCGACCGAGGGUACCUGAAGAAAAAGCAUCGGCUAACUCCGUGCCAGCAGCCGCGGUAAUACGGAGGAUGCGAGCGUUAUCCGGAUUUAUUGGGUUUAAAGGGUGCGUAGGCGGGCUGUUAAGUCAGCGGUAAAAGCCCGGGGCUCAACCCCGGCGAGCCGUUGAAACUGGCUGUCUUGAGAUGGCGAGAGGUAUGCGGAAUGCGCAGUGUAGCGGUGAAAUGCUUAGAUAUUGCGCAGAACCCCGAUUGCGAAGGCAGCAUACCGGCGCCGAUCUGACGCUGAGGCACGAAAGCGUGGGUAUCGAACAGGAUUAGAUACCCGGGUAGUC